GAUGAACGCUGGCGGCGUGCCUAAUACAUGCCAGUCGAGCGAACAGACGAGGAGCUUGCUCCUCUGACGUUAGCGGCGGACGGGUCAGUAACACGUGGAUAACCUACCUAUAAGACUGGGAUAACUUCGGGAAACCGGAGCUAAUACCGGAUAAUAUAUUGAACCGCAUGGUUCAAUAGUGAAAGACGGUUUUGCUGUCACUUAUAGAUGGAUCCGCGCCGCAUUAGCUAGUUGGUAAGGUAACGGCUUACCAAGGCGACGAUGCGUAGCCGACCUGAGAGGGUGAUCGGCCACACUGGAACUGAGACACGGUCCAGACUCCUACGGGAGGCAGCAGUAGGGAAUCUUCCGCAAUGGGCGAAAGCCUGACGGAGCAACGCCGCGUGAGUGAUGAAGGUCUUCGGAUCGUAAAACUCUGUUAUUAGGGAAGAACAAAUGUGUAAGUAACUAUGCACGUCUUGACGGUACCUAAUCAGAAAGCCACGGCUAACUACGUG
RNAcentral lists this ribosomal RNA (497 nucleotides) under uncultured bacterium. Its description in RNAcentral is "partial 16S ribosomal RNA". It matches the Rfam family "Bacterial small subunit ribosomal RNA", at positions 28 to 507 of the family's 1533-position model. The record is from RNAcentral.